This 226-nucleotide long non-coding RNA is filed under the name Prunus persica (peach). Its description in RNAcentral is "long non-coding RNA (PPER_LNC003540)". The record is from RNAcentral. Lineage: Eukaryota; Viridiplantae; Streptophyta; Magnoliopsida; Rosales; Rosaceae.
GAGUCUAUGAUGCACCAAUCAAUGGCCCAUUUCUGAAGAAAUAUUACCCUAUAUAUAAGCUGAGAAAUUUUGCUUUUGAAUUUGAUUAAAGUCAAAUGGACUCAUUAAAGUUAUAGUAUCUGUAUAUUUGGUCAGACUUGAGUGAUUUGCGUGUUUAUAAUCGAAAAAAGCCCUAAUUUCUCUCUUGGCAUUAGUGAAUCCCUUCUUCCUUUAGAAGAGUCACCCG